CGCCUGCCCUGUGACAAAUGUUUAACGGCCGCGGUACCCUAACCGUGCAAAGGUAGCGCAAUCACUUGUCUUUUAAAUGAAGACCUGUAUGAAUGGCAUGACGAGGGCUUAACUGUCUCCUUUUUCUAAUCAAUGAAAUUGAUCUUCCCGUGCAGAAGCGGGAAUAUAGCCAUAAGACGAGAAGACCCUAUGGAGCUUUAGACACAAGACAGAUCUUGUUAAACACUUCAAAAAAGAAACGAACUAAAAGGACUCUGUCCUUUUGUCUUUGGUUGGGGCGACCACGGGAAGACAAAUAACCCCCACGCGGACUGGAAAAACAGUUCUCAAAACCAAGAGCUACAGCUCUAGUUAACAGAAAUUCUGACCUUAAGAUCCGGCACUGCCGAUCAACGGACCGAGUUACCCUAGGGAUAACAGCGCAAUCCCCUUUUAGAGUUCAUAUCGACAAGGGGGUUUACGACCUCGAUGUUGGAUCAGGACAUCCUAAUGGUGCAGCAGCUAUUAAGGGUUCGUUUGUUCAACGAUUAAAAUCCU
Molecule: ribosomal RNA, 537 nt
Filed under: Betta spilotogena
Lineage: Eukaryota; Metazoa; Chordata; Actinopteri; Anabantiformes; Osphronemidae
Description: partial 16S ribosomal RNA
Rfam family: Bacterial large subunit ribosomal RNA
Source: RNAcentral